AGGUCAAGCUACAAAGGGCGUAUGGUGAAUGCCUUGGCAUCAGGAGCCGAUGAAGGACGUGAUAAGCUGCGAUAAGCUUUGGGUAGACGCACAUAGUCUGAGAUCCAAAGAUUUCCGAAUGAGGAAACUCACAUGGGAAACCCCAUGUAUCGUUAACUGAAUAAAUAGGUUAACGAGGGUAAACCUAGGGAACUGAAACAUCUAAGUACCUAGAGGAAGAGAAAGAAAAAUCGAUUUUCUAAGUAGCGGCGAGCGAAAGGGAAAGAGCCCAAACCGGAAACUUGUUUCCGGGGUUGUGGAUAGAACAUAACGAGAAACUAUAACUAAUUGAAGAGAGCUGGAAAGCUCUACCGUAGAAGGUAAUAGUCCUGUAAGUGAAAGUUAGAGUAAUCAAGUUCUAAUCCAGAGUACCACGAGACACGUGAAACCUUGUGGGAAGCAGGGAGGACCACCUCCCAAGGCUAAAUACUACCUGAUGACCGAUAGUGAAGCAGUACCGUGAGGGAAAGGUGAAAAGAACCCCGGGAGGGGAGUGAAAUAGAACCUGAAACCAUAUGUCUACAACCGAUCAAAGCACCUUAUGUGUGCGAUGAUGUGCUUUUUGUAGAACGAGCCAACGAGUUACGAUAUGUAGCAAGGUUAAGUACUUAAGGUACGGAGCCGAAGGGAAACCAAGUCUUAAUAGGGCAACUAGUUGCAUGUCGUAGACCCGAAACCGGGUGACCUAUCCAUGGCCAGGUUGAAGCGAGGGUAAAACCUCGUGGAGGACCGAACCACGUUGCUGUUGAAAAAGCAUGGGAUGAGCUGUGGAUAGCGGAGAAAUUCCAAUCGAACUCGGAGAUAGCUGGUUCUCCUCGAAAUAGCUUUAGGGCUAGCGUCGAAUAUGAGUAAUGGAGGUAGAGCACUGAAUGGGCUAGGGGGCAUAGCGCUUACCGAACCUUAUCAAACUCCGAAUGCCAUAUACUAUAAGUUCGGCAGUCAGACUACGAAUGAUAAGAUCCGUGGUCAAAAGGGAAACAGCCCAGAUCGUCAGCUAAGGUCCCAAAGUGUAAGUUAAGUGGAAAAGGAUGUGGGAUUUCUAAGACAACUAGGAUGUUGGCUUAGAAGCAGCCACUCAUUAAAAGAGUGCGUAAUAGCUCACUAGUCGAGAGAUCCUGCGCCGAAGAUGUUCGGGGCUAAAACUUACCACCGAAGCUACGGGCUUGAAUUUAUUCAAGCGGUAGAGGAGCGUCGUAAUCGGGCUGAAGUCAUACCGUAAGGAGUGGUGGACUGAUUACGAGUGAGAAUGUUGGCAUUAGUAGCGAGAUGUAGGUGAGAAUCCUACAGGCCGAAUACCUAAGGUUUCCUCAGGAAGGCUCGUCCGCUGAGGGUUAGUCGGGACCUAAGCCGAGGCCGAAAGGCGUAGGUGAUGGACAACUGGUUGAUAUUCCAGUACCACUACCAUCGUUAUUAUCGAUGGCGUGACGCAGGAGGAUAGUGUGUGCUAGCUAUUGGAUGCUAGUCUAAGCAUUUAGUCAGUUACAAUAGGCAAAUCCGUUGUAAUAAUGAUGAGAUGUUAUGGGGAAGGUUCUACGGAACCGAAGUACAUGAUUCCACGCUGCCAAGAAAAGCGUCUAGAGAGAGAAGUAGUGCCCGUACCGCAAACCGACACAGGUAGGUGAGGAGAGAAUCCUAAGGCCGGCGGAAGAAUUGCAGUUAAGGAACUCGGCAAAUUGAUCCCGUAAGUUAGCAAUAAGGGAUGCCUACGAGAGUAGGCCGCAGAGAAUAGGCUCAAGCAACUGUUUAGCAAAAACACAGGUCUCUGCUAAAGCGUAAGCUGAUGUAUAGGGGCUGACGCCUGCCCGGUGCUGGAAGGUUAAGGGGAACACUUAGCGUAAGCGAAGGUGUGAACUUAAGCCCCAGUAAACGGCGGCCGUAACUAUAACGGUCCUAAGGUAGCGAAAUUCCUUGUCAGGUAAGUUCUGACCCGCACGAAUGGCGUAAUGACUUGAGCACUGUCUCAACUGCAAAUCCGGCGAAGUUGUAGUACCAGUGAAGAUGCUGGUUACCCGCGAUUGGACGGAAAGACCCCGUAGAGCUUUACUGUAGCUUAGCAUUGAAUUUCGGUAUUGUCUGUACAGGAUAGGUGGGAGACUGAGAGACUAGGGCGUCAGCCUUAGUGGAGUCGACGUUGGGAUACCACCCUGAUAGUACUGAAGUUCUAACUGGCGGCCAUGAAUCUGGUCACAGGACAUUGUUAGGUGGGCAGUUUGACUGGGGCGGUCGCCUCCUAAAAAGUAACGGAGGCGCCCAAAGGUUCCCUCAGAACGGUCGGAAAUCGUUCGAAGAGUGCAAAGGCAGAAGGGAGCCUGACUGCGACACCCACAAGUGGAGCAGGGACGAAAGUCGGGCUUAGUGAUCCGGUGGUACCUCGUGGGAGGGCCAUCGCUCAACGGAUAAAAGCUACCUCGGGGAUAACAGGCUGAUCUCCCCCAAGAGUCCACAUCGACGGGGAGGUUUGGCACCUCGAUGUCGGCUCGUCGCAUCCUGGGGCUGAAGUAGGUCCCAAGGGUUGGGCUGUUCGCCCAUUAAAGCGGCACGCGAGCUGGGUUCAGAACGUCGUGAGACAGUUCGGUCCCUAUCCGUCGCGGGCGUAGGAAAUUUGAGAGGAGCUGUCCUUAGUACGAGAGGACCGGGAUGGACUGACCUCUGGUGUACCAGUUGUUCCGCCAGGAGCACAGCUGGGUAGCUAAGUCGGGAAGGGAUAAACGCUGAAAGCAUCUAAGCGUGAAGCCCACCUCAAGAUGAGAUUUCCCAUAGCAUAAGCUAGUAAGACCCCUUGAAGAACACAAGGUUGAUAGGUCAGAGGUGUAAGUAUGGUAACAUAUUUAGCUGACUGAUACUAAUAGGUCGAGGGCUUGACCUAAUU
This 2908-nucleotide ribosomal RNA is filed under the name Candidatus Sarcina troglodytae. Its description in RNAcentral is "Sarcina sp. JB2 23S ribosomal RNA". It matches the Rfam family "Bacterial large subunit ribosomal RNA". Lineage: Bacteria; Bacillati; Bacillota; Clostridia; Eubacteriales; Clostridiaceae. The record is from RNAcentral.